This 253-nucleotide ribosomal RNA is filed under the name uncultured bacterium. RNAcentral describes it as "partial 16S ribosomal RNA". It matches the Rfam family "Bacterial small subunit ribosomal RNA", at positions 524 to 776 of the family's 1533-position model. The record is from RNAcentral.
UACAGAGGUCUCAAGCGUUGUUCGGAUUCAUUGGGCGUAUAGGGUGUGUAGGUGGCGCGCUAAGUCGGGUGUGAAAUUUCGGAGCUUAACUCCGAAACUGCAUUCGAUACUGGCGUGCUUGAGGACUGGAGAGGAGACUGGAAUUCAUGGUGUAGCAGUGAAAUGCGUAGAGAUCAUGAGGAAGACCAGUGGCGAAGGCGGGUCUCUGGACAGUUCCUGACACUGAGACACGAAGGCCAGGGGAGCAAACGGG